GUACAGUGUUGGAUGGUCUUUGUGAAGCUCCUAACACUGUCUGGUAAAGAUGGCCCCCGGGUUGGUUCUUUCAGCAAUGACUUUCCUGGAGCUCUGAAGACCAUGGAGGCCUCCUGAUUGACAAGCUAUGAACCUUUCCCCUUUUGAUGAGGGUGUAAAUGAUUAGGAAAAGGGGAACAAUGGAAAGGGAAACAAAAUGGCUGCCCCUGGUGCAGCAGCAAGAUUUGGAAAUAUACUUAUUCCCCAUUCCCCAGAUACCUCCAUUGUCCUCCCACUUUGGGAACUUGAAAGAAAUGAAGUGUGAAUGGUAACAGGUGGAUGACUAAUCCAGGUCCCUUGACCUUUUUUUUUUGAAUCUUUUUUAGAAAAACUUUUAUUCGUAAGUUUUAGGUGGUCACAAUAUCUUUACACUUAUAUGGUGCUGAGAAUUGAACACAGUGCCUCCUGCAUGCUAGGAAGGCACUCUACCACUGACCCAUACCAGCUCCUCCCUUGACCUUUUAUCCGUAAAUCUUACCUUAGGGAGAGUGGCUGCUACUUCAACUUCACCUCCCUUUCCUUUCUCGACAUUUAACCCUCAGGGCAUGGAGAAAUUGUCUACUUCUUUCAAAACCCUAAAGGCUGAAGACCCGCCCCUUUUGACCCUAUUAAAGUUUACUUUCUCCUCUA
RNAcentral lists this long non-coding RNA (669 nucleotides) under Marmota monax (woodchuck). The stretch from base 1 to 61 matches the Rfam family "mir-8/mir-141/mir-200 microRNA precursor family". Lineage: Eukaryota; Metazoa; Chordata; Mammalia; Rodentia; Sciuridae. The record is from RNAcentral.